AGGUGGGGAUCUGGUGGUUGACUGAUAUGGUUGAUGGGGACACACACUGAAAAGCAUCACAUGCUGUUGAACUGCCUGUUUAACCAGUGAUCUGACCAGGCCUGUAUUUUCUCUUCACCAAGAUCCUUUGUGAGGAGUUGUGGUGGCUGCUAUGAUUUUACCUGAUGCAGGCGAGGGUUAAAUCUUCCAAUACGAGACUCCCCAUAGCCCUGAUCAGGAGAGAUGUCGGUUUCUUAUGGCUGCUCUAACAGGUAACCACAGACUUGAUGGCGAAAAACAAUAGAAGUUUAUUCUGUUACAGCUCUGGAGGCCAGAAAUUCAAAACCCUUCAGAGGUAUCGCUGGAAAGACAUCCCGUAUUCUUGGAUUGGAAGACUUACAUUGUUAAGAUGACAAUACCACCUAGAGCCUCCUACAGAUCCAGUGCAAUCCCUAUCAGCAUCCCGAUGAGGUUGUUUUUAGAAAUAGAUAAAUAUAUCCUAAAAUUCAUAUGGGAUCUCAAAGGCCCCUGAAUAGUCAAAACAAUCUUGAAAACAAAGACAUAGUUGGAGGAUUCACAUUUCCUGAUUUAGCAACUCACCACUAUUUUGUUUGUACGGUUUGUUUUGAUAAAAUAAUCAACGCUGUGGCACUGGCAUAAGAUAUGGAACAAUGGAAUUGAAUCGUGAGCCAAGAAAUAACCUCACAUCUAUGGUCAAAUGAUUUUUUUUGACAAGGGUGACAAGAGCAUUUAAGGGGAAAAGAAUAGUGUUUUCAACAAAUGGUAUUGGGAAAACCAGCUGUCCACAUGCAAAAGAAUGAACUUGGAGUCUUACCUUAGACCAUAUAUAAAAACUAACUCAUAAUGGAUUAAAGAUCUAACUGUAAGAACUGAAACUAUAAAACUGCUAGAAGAAAACACAGAAAAGCUUCAUGACAUUGGAUCCAGCAAUUCUUGGAUAUGGCAGCAAAAGCACAGGCAACAAAAGGAAAAAAAAGACAAACGGCUUCACAAAAAUUAAAAAAGACUCUUUUGUGUUUCAAAGGACACCAUUAAGAGAGUAAAAAGGCAACCCGCAAAAUGGCAGAAAAUAUUUGCCAAUCAUAAAUCUGACAAAGGGUUAACAUCUAGAAUAUAUAAAAAAUUUCUACAACUCAAAAGUGACAAAAGAACCACAUUAAAAAAUGGGCAAACAACGUGCACAGACUUUAUCCUAGGAAGAUGCACAGAUGGCCAAUAAGCACAGGAAAAGAUGUUCAGCAUCACUAGUCAUUGGAGGAAUUCCAUUCAAAGGCAAAAUGAGAUACCACUUCACCCCCAUUAAGAGGGCGACCAUUAACAACAACAAAAACAAAAGAAAAACAAUGAAAAAACAAAUAUUGGCUAGAAUGUGGGGAAACUGGAACCCUUGUAUGUUGCUGGUGGGGAUGUCAAAUGGUAUAGCCCCUGUGGAUAGCAAUAUGGCAGCUCCUCAAAAAAUCAAACAUGAAUACGAAAUUAUUUAAUGGGUGAGGAGUUUCAGUUUAGUGGUGUUGAAUUAUCCUGGAGAUGGGUGGUGGUGAUGGUUGCAUAACCAUAUAAAUGUACUUAAUGCCAUUGAAUUAUACACUUAAAAAUGGUUAAAAUAAUAAGAUUUGUGUUAUGUGUUUUUACUACAAUUAAAAAAAAAUGGUGCUUAAA
Long non-coding RNA from Symphalangus syndactylus (siamang), 1659 nucleotides. RefSeq lists it as uncharacterized. The record is from RefSeq and is a predicted model, not a curated record. NCBI's taxonomy places the organism in Eukaryota, Metazoa, Chordata, Mammalia, Primates, Hylobatidae.